RNAcentral lists this long non-coding RNA (865 nucleotides) under Scleropages formosus (Asian bonytongue). Its description in RNAcentral is "lncRNA (ENSSFOG00015024950.1)". The record is from RNAcentral. Lineage: Eukaryota; Metazoa; Chordata; Actinopteri; Osteoglossiformes; Osteoglossidae.
GGCUUAUAGGUCGGUAAAUGAGCGAGUUGUUUUCCCAUGUGAUUCGCUGGAGGCGCGGACAUUGGCCCCGCCCAGCGUCGCUUCGCCGAGUGAUGAACCAUGGAGGGAAGGUGUGAAUCUGCACUGCACCGGCGGUCGGCUGGCAGGCGGGGCUCGGGACUCCUACUGCAAGCUCCGGUCGGGGAAAGCGAAGAAGCGAUCCUCCGUGAAUCUCUAGCCAGGCUCACCAGCGUCACUAAAGCCAUAACGGCCAACAUCCGAAAUAUAAACGAGAGCCUCGACCGGAUCCUGCUCGAUAAAGCGGACGUGCGGGAGCUGGAAACGAUAUUGAUGCAAAUAUCUGGAAAAAAAGAGGAAGAAUGAAACAAUUGCAGAGGGAGGAAAGCAGCAGAGAAAUCUUAUAUGUGCUGAGUCCUGCUGCAUUUGUUUUUGGUUUUCAAGUUUGGUAUUUUACUUAAUGUAUUUUUUUUUUUCCCCCCUUUUUCUAUCUUAUACUGAGGAAAGAAACAUAAGCAAGAACUCUCUCUCUGAAUCACAAGUAUGUAUGUUUAACUUGAAAAUGAACCUGUACAAUUUACUUUAAAACUAUUUGCUAAUGUUUCAUAUUUCACAUCUGUCACAAUAUUUUGAUUUUGUCUCCAAAUGUCUCCGCGACCCCGUAUGGGACAAGCGGUUCUGAAAAUGUGUGUUUUUGUGUAAAUAGACCAGGUUGUUUAACUACCAAUGUGAGACUUUUUCCCCCAAAUUUUGUGCCUUUUUUUUUUCCUUUUCUUGAAUGUUAUUUGAAAAGUAUCCAUUUUCAUUUAGUGAGAAUUUAAAAGUAAAUGUCUUCAACCUCAAAAUCAGUUCAGGCAUUUUUUUUUUA